RNAcentral lists this ribosomal RNA (503 nucleotides) under uncultured bacterium. RNAcentral describes it as "bacterial SSU rRNA". It matches the Rfam family "Bacterial small subunit ribosomal RNA", at positions 1 to 505 of the family's 1533-position model. The record is from RNAcentral.
CCCUUAGAGUUUGAUCCUGGCUCAGGAUGAACGCUGGCGGCGUGCUUAACACAUGCAAGUCGAACGAAGCUGCUUAACUGAUCUUCUUCGGAAUUGACGUUUUGUAGACUGAGUGGCGGACGGGUGAGUAACGCGUGGGUAACCUGCCCCGUACAGGGGGAUAACAGUCAGAAAUGACUGCUAAUACCGCAUAAGACCACAGCACCGCAUGGUGCAGGGGUAAAAACUCCGGUGGUACGGGAUGGACCCGCGCCUGAUUAGCUGGUUGGUGAGGUAACGGCUCACCAAGGCGACGAUCAGUAGCCGGCUUGAGAGAGUGAACGGCCACAUUGGGACUGAGACACGGCCCAAACUCCUACGGGAGGCAGCAGUGGGGAAUAUUGCACAAUGGGGGGAACCCUGAUGCAGCGACGCCGCGUGAGUGAAGAAGUAUCUCGGUAUGUAAAGCUCUAUCAGCAGGGAAGAAAAUGACGGUACCUGACUAAGAAGCCCCGGCUAUUACG